Molecule: non-coding RNA, 29 nt
Filed under: Mus musculus (house mouse)
Lineage: Eukaryota; Metazoa; Chordata; Mammalia; Rodentia; Muridae
Source: RNAcentral
UCCUAAACUCCGGAAGAGUGAGCCCUAGG